CUACGGGCCGCUGCAAUGAGGAAUAUUGCACAAUGGAGGAAACUCUGAUGCAGCAACGCCGCGUGGAGGAUGACGCAUUUCGGUGUGUAAACUCCUCUUAUAUGUCAAGAAAAUGACGGUAGCAUAUGAAUAAGCACCGGCUAACUCCGUGCCAGCAGCCGCGGUAAUACGGAGGGUGCAAGCGUUACUCGGAAUCACUGGGCGUAAAGGACGCGUAGGCGGGAUAUCAAGUCAGGUGUGAAAUCCUACAGCUUAACUGUAGAACUGCACUUGAAACUGGUAACCUAGAGUAUGGGAGGGGGAGAUGGAAUUAGUGGUGUAGGGGUAAAAUCCGUAGAUAUCACUAGGAAUACCUAAAGCGAAGGCGAUCUCCUGGAACAUAACUGACGCUAAGGCGUGAAAGCGUGGGGAGCAAACAGGAUUAGAUACCCUUGUAGUC
Molecule: ribosomal RNA, 439 nt
Filed under: uncultured bacterium
Lineage: Bacteria
Description: partial 16S ribosomal RNA
Rfam family: Bacterial small subunit ribosomal RNA
Source: RNAcentral